This 88-nucleotide ribosomal RNA is filed under the name uncultured bacterium. RNAcentral describes it as "partial 16S ribosomal RNA". The record is from RNAcentral.
UACACACCGCCCGUCACACCAUGGGAGUCGAUUGCUCCAGAAGUCAUCUCACCAAGAGAUGCCCAAGGAGUGCUCGGUAACUGGGGUG